RNAcentral lists this long non-coding RNA (3640 nucleotides) under Nicotiana tabacum (common tobacco). RNAcentral describes it as "long non-coding RNA (NTAB_LNC009424)". The record is from RNAcentral. Lineage: Eukaryota; Viridiplantae; Streptophyta; Magnoliopsida; Solanales; Solanaceae.
GUGCUCCUAAGUCAUAAAUCACCCAACGAAGCUAUCCAAAUCAUAAAAUUUCUGAUCCGAGCUCAUAUACAAAUAAGUCAACUCUUAGUCAAACCUUUCAAAUUCACAGCUUUCAACUGAGACUGUUCCUUCAAAUUCAUUCCGAUUUUCCUGAAAACCAAAACCAACGAUCUACAUCAGCCAUAAUACGUUACACGGGGCAAGUCAUUCCCGGGAACUGACGAUCAAAGUGCAAAAGUUCAAAACAGUCGGUCGGGUCGUUACAUGAUUAAUGGAGGACAACACUUGAGCAUAAACUAAAUUUAACUUCAACAUACAGGAGAAAAUUACAUAGUGCAGGAGUAAAACUUUUAGGUUGUUUGUCCUGAAGUUUUUACAAAUGAACUAAAUCACUUAAGCAUCUUCUGCUGAAGUUUUUUGAAAAAAGAUGUAAGACAGGAUUAAUGAAUCGAGGGACAAAAACUUCAGCGUAUUAAGUGCUGAAGUUUUAGAAAUGAACUAAAUAACUUCAGCACAUUGGGCUGAAGUUUUUUGAAAAACCUUUACGACAAAAACUAUUGAAUCCCGGACAAAAACUUCAUCUUAUCAAGUGCUGAAGUAUUUAGAAAUGUACUAAAUAACUUCACCAUAUUGGGCUGAUGUUUUUUAAAAAAGCUUUACGAAAAAAACUAUUGAAUGCAGGACAAAAACUUCAACUUAUUAAGUACUGAAGUUUUAGAAAUGAACUAAAUAACUUCAGCACAUUGAGCUGAAGUUUACCAAAUGAAUUAAAUAAACUUCCGCAUGUUUCAGCAUUAAUUGCAUAGUAUACAAGAGUAAACAUAACAAACAUAAUUAAAGCAAUAAUUAUAUUACGUUGGGGGUAUGUGUUAGUGUAAUAAUUGCAUUCCUAUCACAUUCAUGCACGCUUUUCGUUAGACAACGUUUAAAAUUCCUCUUUGCCUUUUCAUAUACCAUUCAAAAGUUUUUUUCACCUAUAUAAGCACGAUAUACCUUGUCAGUUUAUUCACUCAAACACAUAUAUUUUAGCAGAUAAAAUACAAAACGGAGAAAAAUGGAUGCUGUAAUAAGGCAAAUAGUUGACAAAAUUAAACAAGACAUUAUAGAGGCUUUUGAGCUGAAACUGGAUGAGCUCAUAGACAAGUAUGACAGGGAGCUGGAAGAAAUCAACAACAAGCUUGAUAGGAUUGAGAUGCUGGUGAAAUUUGAUAGUCUUGGUGAUGAAGAUGCUCGUCCAUCUGGCAGUCACGACGAUGAUGAUGAUGAUGAUACGGACGAUUAGUUUUUUUUUUUGUAUAAUCCUUUUAGUUAAAGGAUUAUAAUGUUAUUUGUUUUUUUAUGUAAUUUUAAUUUAUAUUUUUAAUGUUUAAUGAAAUAUUUUGUUUUUGUUUAAGUUUUUUGUGCCUUUUUUAAUAUUAAUUCUCUUCAAGCUCGAAAAAUAACAAAGAAAAUGAACUAAAUAACUCCAACAGGAAUUAACAAAAACUCAUCCGAAAAUUAAGCAUUUUUUUGUAUGAAGUUUUUCCAAAAAAUCAUAAUAAAAUACAUAGUGCAGGAGGAAAACUUUAUCUCCCAUUGCUGAAGUUUUCAAGAAUGAACUAAAAAACUUCAGCAUUUAUGCUAAAGUUUUUGUGCAAUAUGUAAUUUUAAUUUAUUUUUUAUUUUAUUAUGAAAAAUGACAUUUUUGUAUUAAUGUUUUUGUGCGUUUUUUUCAUAUUAAUCCUUUUUAAACUUAGAAAAUAACAAAGGAAUUAAAAAAAACUUAUCCAAAAAUUACAUAUNNNNNNNNNNNNNNNNNNNNNNNNNNNNNNNNNNNNNNNNNNNNNNNNNNNNNNNNNNNNNNNNNNNNNNNNNNNNAACUUCAGGAAAAUGCUGAAGUUUUUUUAGUUCAUUCUUUAAAACUUCAGCUAGUUUUGCUGAAGUUUUUAAAGAUUAACUCAAAAACUUCAGCACUUAUGCUGAAGUUUUUGUGCAAUAUGCAAUUUUAAUUUAUAUUUUAUUUUUUUACCCAGUGUAGAAAGAAAACUUCAGCUCGUUUUGCUGAAGUUUUUAAAGAUUAACUAAAAAACUUCAGCACCUAUGCUGAAAUUUUUGUGCAAUAUGUAAUUUUAAUUUAUGUUUUAUUUUUUUUACCCAGUGUAGGAGGAAAACUUAGCUCGUUUUGCUGAAGUUUUCCUAAAGGUGUAAAUACUUUAAAACUUCAGCUUGUUUUGCUGAAGUUUUUAAUGAUAAACUAAAUAACUUUAGCUUUUUUAGCAAAUAAACAAGACAUAUACUUCAGCAUAUGUAAAAACUCAGCUUGUUUAGUAAAUAAACAAAAAUUUCAGCAUAUUUGAAUUUGUCAGAUUAGAAUGUUAGAAUUCAACGUGAAAAAGAUUUAGCAUGCAAAUUCAGCAUAUCAGUGAAGAGUUCAUGUUUCAUCCGUCAAACAACUUCAAUCAAUCAAUCUGAAAACAUAUUUUGAAUUCUGAAGAUGAAUUUGAAUACUUACAAUGUAUUUUGUUGGAAUUUGAAUAUGGUUCAAAUCUUGUUGGCGAGAGGCUAUCUGAGGCGAGACGGAGUGAUGGAGGAGAGACGAAGGCGAUUUGGAAUUUUAAUCUGGUAUGCGUGAUGCAUAUUUUAUAUGUUUUGGAAGGGGUAUAAUGGUCAUAUUAUUACGGUAUUUUUUGUUAGUUGGUUACGAAAUCAAUAGUUUUUAAAAAUAGGGUAUAUGUUAAAAUGUGGCAUAAAUAUAGGGUAUGACUGCAAAUCGCUCAUUGCUCAUGGCACGACCAACAUCCAAACAAAUAAAUGUUUAAUCAAAUGAUUAAAAAAUCGACUUCUAAUCAGUAAUAUCACCAGUUAUGUUAACAUAAAAUUAUACACAAAUCUUUAUCAUAACAAAUCACAUAGACUACAACUUUAAUAGUACAAUUGUACAAAUGAACACUAUUUUUUCAAAUUUGGAGUUUUAGCAAGUGCUAUUCAAUUAGCCCACCUACACUCCCUUUGAUGGCUUCAAGAAAACAGAAUAACCCUCAAAUUCAACUUCUUAUACGUUCCAAAUGGUUCAGUUAAUCAGAGAAGAAGUCAAUAACACUAGAUUAGACAAAUAGGACUCAAAACAACAAUCAUUGCCCAUGAACUAACCAAAAUACAUAUAAUUCAACUUCUUAGAGAUAAAACUUCAGUUUAUUCAGUCACGGACAUUGUAAAAAUGAUAUAUCAAAUUUAAACUAGCUAAGCAUCACGUUACAUGUGGAUGAUAGAAAACAUAAGAAUAGCCACAAAAUACCAUUUAUCUCAUGAAUCCAGUCAUUUUAUUGAAAGAAAUGAAUUACAAGUUGAGGUGUGUGUACCUAAUUCUGCAGAAGUGAAGCAGAGCUACUAGAAAUGAAACAACAAUAGAGAAGCAAGGAGAAAUCUGAACUUCAAAGCUGCAACUCAAACCAGUAGAAUCAAUACAGCAGCACAAACAACGAGUUUUCAACUCAAUCAGCUAUGGAAACCAAGAUAUAUGCAGCAACAGAAUGGGAAUGAGAAACAACUUUGAAUCCUCCUCUUUUUCCUUGUUUGUUUUUUGAUUUUAAAUUGGUUUUUCAGAGUGUUUUUUUAGAGAAAUCAGUGAGGAUGAGGGAAUGUAUGGGAGACUUCUAUAGAG